RNAcentral lists this ribosomal RNA (465 nucleotides) under uncultured bacterium. RNAcentral's name for it is "bacterial SSU rRNA". It matches the Rfam family "Bacterial small subunit ribosomal RNA", at positions 329 to 792 of the family's 1533-position model. The record is from RNAcentral.
UUCCAGACUCCUACGGGAGGCAGCAGUGAGGAAUAUUGGUCAAUGGCCGUAAGGCUGAACCAGCCAAGUAGCGUGAGGGAAGACUGCCCUAUGGGUUGUAAACCUCUUUUAUGCGGGGAUAAAGGUGUCCACGUGUGGAUGUUUGCAGGUACCGCAUGAAUAAGGACCGGCUAAUUCCGUGCCAGCAGCCGCGGUAAUACGGAAGGUCCGGGCGUUAUCCGGAUUUAUUGGGUUUAAAGGGUGCGUAGGCGGAAGGUUAAGUCAGCGGUAAAAUGUCGGUGCUCAACACCGGCCUGCCGUUGAAACUGGUCUUCUUGAGUGAGCGAGAAGUAUGCGGAAUGCGUGGUGUAGCGGUGAAAUGCAUAGAUAUCACGCAGAACUCCGAUUGCGAAGGCAGCAUACCGGCGCUCAACUGACGCUGAGGCACGAAAGCGUGGGGAUCGAACAGGAUUAGAUACCCGAGUA